RNAcentral lists this ribosomal RNA (163 nucleotides) under uncultured bacterium. RNAcentral's name for it is "partial 16S rRNA". It matches the Rfam family "Bacterial small subunit ribosomal RNA", at positions 355 to 511 of the family's 1533-position model. The record is from RNAcentral.
UAGGGAAUCUUCCACAAUGGGCGAAAGCCUGAUGGAGCAACGCCGCGUGUGUGAUGAAGGGUUUCGGCUCGUAAAACACUGUUGUAAGAGAAGAAUGACAUUGAGAGUAACUGUUCAAUGUGUGACGGUAUCUACCAGAAAGGAACGGCUAAAUACGUACCAG